RNAcentral lists this ribosomal RNA (466 nucleotides) under Klebsiella pneumoniae subsp. pneumoniae. Its description in RNAcentral is "bacterial SSU rRNA". It matches the Rfam family "Bacterial small subunit ribosomal RNA", at positions 338 to 796 of the family's 1533-position model. Lineage: Bacteria; Pseudomonadati; Pseudomonadota; Gammaproteobacteria; Enterobacterales; Enterobacteriaceae. The record is from RNAcentral.
CCUAUGGGAGGCAGCAGUAGGGAAUCUUCCACAAUGGACGCAAGUCUGAUGGAGCAACGCCGCGUGAGUGAAGAAGGGUUUCGGCUCGUAAAGCUCUGUUGUUGGUGAAGAAGGACAGGGGUAGUAACUGACCUUUGUUUGACGGUAAUCAAUUAGAAAGUCACGGCUAACUACGUGCCAGCAGCCGCGGUAAUACGUAGGUGGCAAGCGUUGUCCGGAUUUAUUGGGCGUAAAGCGAGUGCAGGCGGCUCGAUAAGUCUGAUGUGAAAGCCUUCGGCUCAACCGGAGAAUUGCAUCAGAAACUGUCGAGCUUGAGUACAGAAGAGGAGAGUGGAACUCCAUGUGUAGCGGUGAAAUGCGUAGAUAUAUGGAAGAACACCGGUGGCGAAGGCGGCUCUCUGGUCUGUUACUGACGCUGAGGCUCGAAAGCAUGGGUAGCGAACAGGAUUAGAUACCCUGGUAGUCC